GCCCGACUUCCGGAAGGGCCGUAUUUAUUAGAUAACAGACCAAUAUUCCUCGUGUCUAUUGUGGUGAAUCAUAGUAACUAAACGGAUCGAGGGCUUGCCCUCGACAAACCAUUCAAGUUUCUGCCCCAUCAGCUUUCGAUGGUAGUGUAUUGGACUACCAUGGCUUUUACGGGUAACGGAGGAUUAGGGUUCGAUUCCGGAGAGGGAGCCUGAGAAACGGCUACCACAUCUAAGGGAGGCAGCAGGCGCGUAAAUUACCCAAUACUAAUUCAGUGAGGUAGUGACAAGAAAUAACGGGCCGGGA
Molecule: ribosomal RNA, 304 nt
Filed under: uncultured Spirotrichea
Lineage: Eukaryota; Ciliophora; Spirotrichea
Description: SSU rRNA
Rfam family: Eukaryotic small subunit ribosomal RNA
Source: RNAcentral